GACGAACGCUGGCGGCAUGCCUAACACAUGCAAGUCGAACGGAGAAAAAGAAGCUUGCUUCUUUUUCUUAGUGGCGGACGGGUGAGUAACGCGUGGAUAACCUGCCAUAUACAGGGGGAUAACACUUAGAAAUAGGUGCUAAUACCGCAUAAGCGCACAGCUUCGCAUGAAGCAGUGUGAAAAACUCCGGUGGUAUAUGAUGGAUCCGCGUCUGAUUAGCUUGUUGCGGGGUAACGGCCCACCAUGGCGACGAUCAGUAGCCGGUCUGAGAGGAUGAACGGCCACAUUGGGACUGAGAUACGGCCCAGACUCCUACGGGAGGCAGCAGUGGGGAAUACUGGGCAAUGGGGGAAACCCUGACCCAGCAACGCCGCGUGAAGGAAGAAGGCCUUCGGGUUGUAAACUUCUUUUACCAGGGACGAAGAACGUGACGGUACCUGGAGAAAAAGCAACGGCUAACUACGUG
Molecule: ribosomal RNA, 466 nt
Filed under: uncultured bacterium
Lineage: Bacteria
Description: bacterial SSU rRNA
Rfam family: Bacterial small subunit ribosomal RNA
Source: RNAcentral